Molecule: RNA transcript, 1699 nt
Organism: Arachis duranensis
Lineage: Eukaryota; Viridiplantae; Streptophyta; Magnoliopsida; Fabales; Fabaceae
Gene name: transcription factor bHLH96
Exons: 8
Source: RefSeq, a predicted model, not a curated record
UCAUUCAGUUUCCCAAACAUUAACCCCAAACCUCCAGAGACUCAAAGUUCAGAGUGAAGCUGCUGCUGCCUCUUCUUCUCCAAUGCUUAAGAGUAGAGGCCAGAGACGGAGUCACCGUCACGGAGAGAGGCAGAGAGCAGAUCAGUAGAGCUUCUUCUCCUCCGACGAUUGAGAAAACCCGCCGUCCUCCGUCGGAGAGCAGAGCUUCUUCUUCUUCUUCUUCUCCUCCUCUUCCUCCGCCGAGCCCGUUGCCGCGCCAUCUGUUAAUGGAAGAAUCAUCUCUUGCAGUCAGAGAUUAAUCAAUAUGAUGCCAAUUUUUAGGGAGUGAAAUGCGGUAUCUAUGGUGCCAAUUGCCCUGGGUGGAUAAUAAGCAUGGAGGCCUGUAAUGCAACAUAGCUAUUGAAGACAUUUCCAAAUGCAUUGAAGUUUCUCAAGACACUUGUGGCUGGUUUUGAGGUAUGCAAUUCUCAAUUUGGAAGUUAUUCAAGCAGCAAUCUCUUUGGCCAAACAGGAAGGUCUUCUUGUUUCUUUGGAUUUGGCCAGUUUUGAGAUGGUGAGAAAAUUUAAGCCACCACUUAUGAAGUUAUUGGAGUCUGACAAUAUAGACCUUUGUUUUGCCAAUCAGGAUGAAGCAACGGAACUUCAAUUGUAAUUUUUUCUGCUGGCUUCUUUCCCAAUUUCGUUCUCUUUUGCUUUGGUUGGAAAAUGUGUAGUUGACUCUGCUGUGAACUGUUUGCUAUUGUGCAUUGAUCACUUGGAGAACAUAACUAACCAUGCCUUUUUCCGAGUUCUUCGGCUUCCCACAAGUGACAGGGAAUGCUGAUAUUGAAGUAGCAAUGGUGGAAAGCCAUGCAAAUCUGAAAAUAAGGUCAAAGAAAAAGCCCAAGCAGCUCUUGAAGAUGGUGUCUAAUUUGCAAGUCAUGCGUCUCACAAUCUUGCAUCUUAAUGUCACCACCACUAACAAUGAUAUUGUCCUCUAUUCUCUCAGCGUUGAGGUUGUGGCUGGAGAGCUUGAACUGAAUCAUGAAUGCAAUUUGAUGCACUGGUUGUCAGAGGAUUUUGAAUCUAAAUUGCAGGUUUUUGUGGAGAUAGGGGCAGACAGAACAACACUCAAAAUCCCAAAAAAUUCUUAGCAUAACAGAAUCUACAUGCAGUUCAAUUCUCUUUGGGAAAGGUUUGGUGGGUGGCGGGGAAAGAAAUGAGCUUUCUCAACUUAGUUAAAAGAAACUCAAAAGCUCUUGCAUAAGGGUCUAAGUCUAAGAUGCUAUCUGGCAUUCUCUCAAAGGUGAACACUACCAUUUACUGUCAACGCAUUCAGGAAACAAUUACACGGCCACAAGCAGUGCCAACACCAUUAUUGUACAGGAAUCCAGUUCUGUCUCUUUCUUUAGGCAACAAGGUUUAUAGAAAAUCAAUGGCUACUUCACCUUUCAAAGCUGUGCUUGGAGAUGUUUAUGUUGAUGACUUGGUCUCCAGUUGCAGCAGUGGUGUGGAUUUCACAAAGCCUGCUGGUGUGUACUUCACGAUUUGAAUAUUUUGUAUUAUUAGUGGAUUGCAAUUUAAAUGAAUAUAACUCUAAGUUUAGUUAUUUAUCUUGUCUUGAGUCUUUAUGUUAGAGGAUUAUUUAUUAUUUUGAUAAGUUUGUAAACUUAUUAUCUAAUAUUUAAAAGUUUAUUUGCAUUAAUUGUUUUCUAUUUUA